RNAcentral lists this ribosomal RNA (349 nucleotides) under uncultured eukaryote. RNAcentral's name for it is "SSU rRNA". It matches the Rfam family "Eukaryotic small subunit ribosomal RNA", at positions 594 to 945 of the family's 1831-position model. The record is from RNAcentral.
AUAGCGUAUAUUAAAGUUGUUGCAGUUAAAAAGCUCGUAGUUGAAUUUCGGAAUUUGUCGGUUGGUCGGGCUUCACUGUCCGCACUGGCCUGAUGGAUUCCUACCUUCUGAAUAACCAGCAUGCUAUUAAUUUAGUGCGUUGGGGAAGCAGAGCUAUUACCUUGAAAAAAUUAGAGUGCUUAAAGCAGGCUCACGCUUGAAUAGAUUAGCAUGGAAUAAUAAAAUAGGACGGCUUGGUUCUAUUUUGUUGGUUUCUAGGAUCACCGUAAUGAUUAAUAGGGAUAGUUGGGGGCAUUAGUAUUCAAUUGUCAGAGGUGAAAUUCUUGGAUUUAUUGAAGACUAACUUCUG